GGGGAUUAGUGGCGAACGGGUGAGUAACACGUGGGCAAUCUGCCCUUCACUCUGGGACAAGCCCUGGAAACGGGGUCUAAUACCGGAUAACACCUUCUGCCUCCUGGCGGAAGGUUAAAAGCUCCGGCGGUGAAGGAUGAGCCCGCGGCCUAUCAGCUAGUUGGUGGGGUAAUGGCCUACCAAGGCGACGACGGGUAGCCGGCCUGAGAGGGCGACCGGCCACACUGGGACUGAGACACGGCCCAGACUCCUACGGGAGGCAGCAGUGGGGAAUAUUGCACAAUGGGCGAAAGCCUGAUGCAGCGACGCCGCGUGAGGGAUGACGGCCUUCGGGUUGUAAACCUCUUUCAGCAGGGAAGAAGCGAAAGUGACGGUACCUGCAGAAGAAGCGCCGGCUAACUACGUGCCAGCAGCCGCGGUAAUACGUAGGGCGCAAGCGUUGUCCGGAAUUAUUGGGCGUAAAGAGCUCGUAGGCGGCCAGUCGCGUCGGGUGUGAAAGACCGGGGCUUAACCCCGGUUCUGCAUUCGAUACGGGCUGGCUAGAGUGUGGUAGGGGAGAUCGGAAUUCCUGGUGUAGCGGUGAAAUGCGCAGAUAUCAGGAGGAACACCGGUGGCGAAGGCGGAUCUCUGGGCCAUUACUGACGCUGAGGAGCGAAAGCGUGGGGAGCGAACAGGAUUAGAUACCCUGGUAGUCCACGCCGUAAACGGUGGGAACUAGGUGUUGGCGACAUUCCACGUCGUCGGUGCCGCA
RNAcentral lists this ribosomal RNA (751 nucleotides) under Streptomyces sp. Its description in RNAcentral is "bacterial SSU rRNA". It matches the Rfam family "Bacterial small subunit ribosomal RNA", at positions 87 to 850 of the family's 1533-position model. Lineage: Bacteria; Bacillati; Actinomycetota; Actinomycetes; Kitasatosporales; Streptomycetaceae. The record is from RNAcentral.